CCUACGGGAGGCAGCAGUGGGGAAUUUUGGACAAUGGGGGCAACCCUGAUCCAGCCAUGCCGCGUGUGUGAAGAAGGCCUUCGGGUUGUAAAGCACUUUCGGCCGGAACGAAAUCGCGCGAGUUAACACCCCGCGUGGAUGACGGUACCGGAAGAAGAAGCACCGGCUAACUACGUGCCAGCAGCCGCGGUAAUACGUAGGGUGCGAGCGUUAACCGGAAUUACUGGGCGUAAAGUGUGCGCAGGUGGCCGCGCAAGUCGAGUGUGAAAUCCCCGAGCUUAACUUGGGAAUUGCGCUCGAAACUACGUGGCUCGAGUGUGGCAGAGGAAGGUGGAAUUCCACGUGUAGCGGUGAAAUGCGUAGAGAUGUGGAGGAACACCGAUGGCGAAGGCAGCCUUCUGGGCCAACACUGACGCUCAUGCACGAAAGCGUGGGGAGCAAACAGGAUUAGAUACCCUGGUAGUCCACGCCCUAAACGAUGAUGACUAGUUGUUGGGGGAGUUAAAUCCCUUAGUAACGCAGCUAACGCGUGAAGUCAUCCGCCUGGGGAGUACGGUCGCAAGAUUAAAACUCAAAGGAAUUGACGG
Molecule: ribosomal RNA, 587 nt
Filed under: uncultured bacterium
Lineage: Bacteria
Description: bacterial SSU rRNA
Rfam family: Bacterial small subunit ribosomal RNA
Source: RNAcentral